RNAcentral lists this long non-coding RNA (482 nucleotides) under Lathyrus oleraceus (garden pea). RNAcentral describes it as "Pisum sativum (pea) long non-coding RNA (PSAT_LNC027514)". The record is from RNAcentral. Lineage: Eukaryota; Viridiplantae; Streptophyta; Magnoliopsida; Fabales; Fabaceae.
GGCGUCCGAUGAUUCUUGGUCUGAGUGUGAAAAAAAUGUUAACAUGAAUACUUGGGAUCUUUUCUCCCCCACGAUUAAACAACCCAAGAAAACACUUCCACAAAUAUGUUGUGUCUACUACUGUUCAACCAUUUAAUCUUCACCUCAUUUUCAUUUUUUAUUCUAAUUCUCGUGAUGAAAUUCCUCUUUACCAAUUUACUUUCUCUCUUUCAUUAGAAAACUCAAAAACAAAAAAGAAAAAUGUAAAAGAAGAAAGUGGUUCUUCUGUGUGGUAGUCUCACUUGAUUUCUCCACCAUAUUUCUUCAUGACCACCCCUUUUUCAUGUAAACCAUAAACACUACCUUUUUAUUAUUUUAUUUUUAAUUUAUUUCUUUCCUCAUACUUCAUACACACUCACAUACUAAUCUUCUCUUUUUAGUUUUUAUAAUAUAUUUACUUUUAAUUUUUCUUAGUUAUAAAUAUUUAUAUCUUUCUGUUUUAG